Lontra canadensis (Northern American river otter) is the source of this 328-nucleotide long non-coding RNA. RefSeq lists it as uncharacterized. NCBI's taxonomy places the organism in Eukaryota, Metazoa, Chordata, Mammalia, Carnivora, Mustelidae. The transcript is spliced from 3 exons. The record is from RefSeq and is a predicted model, not a curated record.
UUUGGUGCUGGUGGAGCAAACUCACGCCCCUAGCCAGCCUUUUCAGCAACUCGUGCCAAGAGUACUCGUUCACCAGCGCCGCCCCUUUAAGAGAUUUCGCCUGCAGACAUUUUUUUAACUUUUUAAAGACAGGAUGAAGGAAUCCGAAAAGGGCUGGAGUGCAUGACCUCCAACUGAAGUUCUCUGAGGAGCUUCUAUCAAACUAAGCAACCAAGAAAUACAGAAAGCAAACUGGAGCAAGUCUUUAUGCAACAUAAUGUGAAACCACACAACUCUCAGCUGCGAAAUAUACUUCACCAACAGCACUUACAUGGAUACAACUUUUUAA